CCUACGGGCGGCAGCAGUGGGGAAUAUUGGGCAAUGGGCGCAAGCCUGACCCAGCAACGCCGCGUGAAGGAAGAAGGCUUUCGGGUUGUAAACCUCUUUUAAGAGGGAAGAGCAGAAGACGGUACCUCUUGAAUAAGCCACGGCUAACUACGUGCCAGCAGCCGCGGUAAUACGUAGGGGGCAAGCGUUGUCCGGAUUUACUGGGUGUAAAGGGCGUGUAGCCGGGCUGACAAGUCAGAUGUGAAAUUCCGGGGCGCAACCCCGGACCUGCUUUUGAAACUGUGGGUGUUGAGUAUCGGAGAGGCAGGCGGAAUUCCUGGUGUAGCGGUGAAAUGCGUAGAUAUUAGGAGGAACACCGGUGGCGAAGGCGGCCUACUGGACGACAACUGACGGUGAGGCGCGAAGGCGUGGGGAGCAAACAGGAUUAGAUACCCUUGUAGUC
This 442-nucleotide ribosomal RNA is filed under the name uncultured bacterium. Its description in RNAcentral is "partial 16S ribosomal RNA". It matches the Rfam family "Bacterial small subunit ribosomal RNA", at positions 338 to 795 of the family's 1533-position model. The record is from RNAcentral.